Molecule: ribosomal RNA, 460 nt
Filed under: uncultured bacterium
Lineage: Bacteria
Description: partial 16S ribosomal RNA
Rfam family: Bacterial small subunit ribosomal RNA
Source: RNAcentral
CCUACGGGGUGCUGCAGUGAGGAAUAUUGGUCAAUGGACGAGAGUCUGAACCAGCCAAGUAGCGUGAAGGAUGACUGCCCUAUGGGUUGUAAACUUCUUUUAUAUGGGAAUAAAAUGUUCCACGUGUGGGAUUUUGUAUGUACCAUAUGAAUAAGGAUCGGCUAACUCCGUGCCAGCAGCCGCGGUAAUACGGAGGAUCCGAGCGUUAUCCGGAUUUUGUGGGUUUAAAGGGAGCGUAGGUGGAUUGUUAAGUCAGUUGUGAAAGUUUGCGGCUCAACCGUAAAAUUGCAGUUGAAACUGGCAGUCUUGAGUACAGUAGAGGUGGGCGGAAUUCGUGGUGUAGCGGUGAAAUGCUUAGAUAUCACGAAGAACUCCGAUUGCGAAGGCAGUUCACUGGACUGCAACUGACACUGAGGCUCGAAAGUGUGGGUAUCAAACAGGAUUAGAUACCCUUGUAGUC